GUGCUCUUCUGCACACAGCUGCCAAGGUGUGCGCAUACCCAAAAACCCCUCAUCGUCUCCAUGCUCAUUUCCAUUAGUUUUCUGAAACCACUCCGAUCCAAUGCUACACAGCCAAGCAUGUCAUGCAUGCACCCUCAUAGCCUAUCUGAGGCUAAUCACCAUUUCAUCUAAAAGCAUGCAUGUCCCAGAAAACUGUGAAUUAAAGCAUGGAUUAAGCAUCUCUGAAUCUUUUAUUACAUUAUUAUCGGUGAUAGUGUAUCCUAGAUUUUUUUAAAUCAUCGAUAGAGCAAUCGUCUAAACAUUUUAUUUUAUUUUUGCAUUAAUUGUUCAGGUUCAAAAAGGAGCCUCGGAAUGCAGAGAUAGUGUUUUGCUUGUCCAUGCAUUAAUUUAGAAAGCACCAUGAUUGAUUAAUCCAUUUAAGAGAGAAAAGCGGCAGGGAUGUGGGCUAAGAGCCUCCAUUCUUUACAAGCUGCGCCAUCUCCGCCACCCAGUCGACUAACAGAUUUCAAAGAGUUGAUGAACACCCUCUAGAUCCAGGCCGGGGACCAAAGGAACAUAUUUAUCUCUAUGUGUGAUAUCUUUUCCAUCUCCAAUGGUCAUGGAAAGGGAAUUGACAAAAUGAAUCCUGCUUCUGGCUCCUUGGUUAAUGCACUGGACUGUACCGGGGGUGGCGGGCGCAACUUGCGUUUGAUUCUUGCAGCGUGUGGACUGGUUCACCAUCCUUUCAACGGAGAUCUCUUCAUUGGAAUCACUAGCACAAAUGCCCGCAACGGGAAGAACAAUAUUUGUUUUUUUAUGGGUAAAAUACAAUUAUUUUGUAGGCAAGACUCUUCGCAUUUUAGUAUGGAUUUUGAACAAACAACUUCAAAUUUGAACAUUAAACUGUGCAACUAAAGCUUAUUUUUGUCUUUGUGUGGCCG
This 920-nucleotide long non-coding RNA is filed under the name Hordeum vulgare. RNAcentral's name for it is "long non-coding RNA (HVUL_LNC002378)". The record is from RNAcentral. Lineage: Eukaryota; Viridiplantae; Streptophyta; Magnoliopsida; Poales; Poaceae.